AGAUUCAGUGUUAUUUUAUUCUGCUUUUAAUCAACACACAAUUGUGAGAGUACGAUUUAAAAUUCCAUGUGUAAAGUUGUGAAAUAAAAAACGCGCUCGACUCUUUACUGAUCCUACUCUUUACUAAGAUCCUAAAGACUAGAUAUUUUUCUUGUGCAAAUAGGCUUUACCUAUUUCAACGAUUUUUUUACUGCUUCUUGAGUUCAAUUAUUUUUUCAUUUUGUCAUUGAGUAAUGUUUUUGUCAGUUUUCACUGUAUUGUCCAGUUGUAGUUGACCAUCUAAUGGCCUUCAUUUCAUUGUACAUAACUCAUUUACCCUAAAUAAUGCCACAAUUAACCAUGAAAUUGAAUUUGUUUGAUUUCUUAAUCUUUUUCUCUUUUUUUCUCAAAGCUUCCACAAUUUAUCAUGUUAAUAUGAAAUACCAUAUCAAAUCAAACUGUCUAACCUCUAUUUUGGCUUGAUUUUUUCUUUAUCCUUCACUCAUUGUUAUUUGAUUUGGCGUGAUAUCAAUUUACAAUUUAAUUUUCUCAACCAGAGGACUUUGAAGCCCAUUGAGAGUUGUGGACAAGCACACUUACAAGCCCUAUUAAUAUUAUAUAAAUAUUAUAUCAUCGCCUUAAUUUUUCUGGGAAUAUCAUAAUUGAAUUACAUCAAUGGUAUCAUUUUUUGCUGGUGUCAAUAAAUGUUAAAUGGUUUAACAAACAAUUUGUUCAAGUGUCAACUUAAAGCUUUUAUGUUGGAAAUGAUUUCAAUGAAAAAUCAAGUUAUAGUCAACAAGCACUUGAUGGUUGAUUGUUGACAAAAGACGUACAAGACAAAUGAUGAUAACAGUGAAAAAAGUUGGAUUUAAUGGCGAGUCAAGUAAAUAAAGAGCAAUUGGAGGAAAGGAUCAAACUAUGAUUUCUGAAAGAUGCAGAGGAAAAGUUCAAGAUGAAAAAGCGGACAUAAUGAGGAUAGAGAUGAAUGAUUGAAAGGAUUUAUGUACACAAAGGGAAAAAUCCUAAUGGUCACUAAUGAAUUGCCAUUAACUUGCAAUUUUGAUUGAGAAUAAUUUCCUCUUUUGAGAAUUGAGAUUAUUUCUCUCUCGAUUUUACCCGCAAUGUAAUGGGUUUUAUUUGAAAAACCUCUUGUAAUAAUUGAUUCAAACCUUGCGGCAUCAACUAACCUAAGGUCAUGAAUUAUUAGGUAGUCACAAAGUUAUAAAUCACAAAAUAUUACAAGAGGUGAACUAUCAGAAAUGAGAUGAAUUAAUCUCAUUUGGAUUGUGUAAAGCAACUUUUUACCAUCAUUUAUUGGCCAUCAAAGGAAAAGCUGAUUAAAUGGAGAUGCAUAUGUUGAUCAUUAUUGCUGGUAUCAUUUGGGCAACAACGGCAUAAACAGAAAAAUUGCUCGCUGAUGGAAGGAUGAAUGAAAAGCAACUUAAAGGUGACAGACUGUGAAGAAAUGAACAAGAUUUGGAUAAUGAUAAAAGAAGAUUUUACCUGUUGUUGGAGGACAAGAAAAGAUGAUAAAGUUUUUUUAAUUGGUUCCACUAUUAAUAUGAAUGGCUAUCGUAGUGGACAGUAAGACUGGAAAACAGAAGGGAAAAGUUGAAAAAAGGCUAAAACCAUAAAGAAAGUUGUAACAAGAAAAGAUCAAUUCUUGUUCAUUUUUACCCAAAGUUAAAGGGCCAACAAAGACAAUAAUGAUAUAUUGAUAAAUUGAACUAAAGCCAAACUAAAGAGAAGAAAAGAAAGGAACAGCGUCCUAAAGGAGAGUAAAAAAUGGUCCUAAUCACGUCUACGACUUUCCGUUUCUUUUGGAUGGUUCCUCUUCAAACAAGACUAAUAACAGAAGAAACAACAUCUUAACAAAAUCCUUACGCUUAAUCCCAACUCACAGUGUGACGUUAAUCACCUACACACACACACACACACAAAGGCAACGCAAAGGGAAAAGUGAAAAGCCAAACACACCAUUUCAUCAUUAUCAAUGUAAACUAGUCCAAGUUUUAUACUUUUUUCAGUAUAAAUCUUUAGAUUUACAAAUGAACAAUUUUCUGUUAACCAUCAAAGUUCAUCAAUUUAUCUAAAAUCAACAGUUGAACUUUAUAAUUAUAAUAAUCAUUACGACCUAUUGUAUUUGAUUCUGAAAGUUUAAAUACAGAAACAUGCAAAUGUUACAGCUAGAAAAAGGUAAACAAUGAAAUUCAAAAACUAACAAGUUACUAAUCAAUUGAAUACUAUUAAAUGAUAAUGAUUAUGAUAAUAAUAACAGGGAAACAUAACACAAAAUUGAUAAUGGUGAAAGUGGGAGGUUAUUGGGAGGUUGUCUUAUCAACGCCUCAAUCCAAGCAAAACAAACACACACACAUAAACGCUACAAAAAAAGGUUUCUUUUUCAAAGGCAAACCAUUUGAACACAUUGCCGUAUAAAUGUAUACUUUUGUGUGUUUGUUUCUAGCUUUUGAUUAUGUUUCGUCAAAAGUAUUUACUGUUUAUAACUACUUUUGAGACAUUUUAUUCAAUCACUUGAUUCUAAUCGAUAGUUGAACUUUUUUUCCCAACUUUGCGCACAAAUCUCAUGUUAUCCCUGUAAACAUGGAGAAGACAGAAAAGUGUUAUUUUCAAUUUCAUCCUAUACAAGUUAUAUUAUACAUUGUUAUAGGACCAUUUUUCACCAUCAGAAUCAAGUGAUUGACUGAAGCUAGUGAUAAGCUUUUUCGCUUCUCUUUUUCCCUCAUUAAUUUGACUUUGUCAAAGUAUCACUUUCACUUUUAUUAAUUAACCUGAUAUUGAUGUAAAAAGUUGAAUGAAAAGCUUGGAUUCGUAAAGCUUUUUGCUUGAUACGUAACCUCGUCAUUUCAUUGCGCUUUUUGCUUGAUAAAUGAUUAAUAAUUAACGUUUAGAUUUUCGUCAAUCACUGAUUUUCCCCUUUGUCUUUAACUGUUCAAUAGUUGAUUUUCAAGUUGAAAGUGAAAGUUAUGGUGCUUAAAUGCUGGUUAAGAUGAGAAUGGCGUAUUGAUGUGUAAAGGCAACAAGAAGGAGUUUUAACGACAAGCUAAAGGUGGAGACAGAAUCAAAUUAACUGUGAACGAUUAGGCUUUUUUUAUCCUGGGAGGGAAAAAAUAGAUUAUCUUUUUAUUUUUGGCUGGUCAAAGGGUCAAAUGGAUGGUUAUUGUUAAUGAGUAUUGCUAACUCGUUGGUCCCUGGUCAGUCAAAGGAUACAAAAGAGCUUGAACAAAACACAGCAACAAAAACAUACACACCAAAGAGACUUUGAUUGAACUUUUCUUUGCCUCUCCUUUUGUUUCUUUUGAUGACAACAAUCAACGACUUUCAACUUUCUCCUUUUGUUUUGAUUCUUUCAACAUUGUCUAUCCUGAUGGAUUCCCGUUGAGUUUUGAUGAUCAUGAUGAUUAAGAAAAAAGGUUGACCUUUUUUGCCCUUCAUUUAUUUUUCUCUGUCCUUUGCGCGUCUUGUUAACAAUUAACAAGACAAGGUUGACAAAAGGUAAGAAAAGGUUUGUUCACAGUGUUGUUAAUCCUCUUGCGACAAAAGUUGUCAUAAGUCUUAUUCAGCUAAAUGUCUUCACAUUUUGAAAUGCAUUAAUCUUCGUUAUCUUUUAAUUGUUCAUUCAACUUAAAACCCAAAAUUGGAAUGAAAUGAUUCUAUAAACUAACCUUUUGAUUCAUACUUUUGUGUGGACAAGUUUUCAAGCAGAAAAUGAAUCAAGUAUUUUGUUUGAUUCAAGUUAACUAAAAGUAUUUUGUUUCGAUCUCAAGUGAUUUUAGGUUCUUAUCAACGUUUCCAAUUACAGGAACCAUUCAUUCGAUAUCAUCCAUUAUACGAAUCUUGAACAAAGUAGAUUCUCAUCUUCACAUGGUUAUAGAUUCAGUAUAGGAAAUGAUGAGGAUGGAGACUCAGAGAGAAGCCAAAGUUUAUGCUCAGAAUUAAGAUGAAGAGAGGAAAAUCUGUAGACAUUGAUACCAACUCAGAACUCACUUCAUCUUGGAUCCAUUUUUGCUCAUCAAAUGUUGGAAAAGUUGUUUUUACUUUACAUUUUUCACCAAAUUGAUCCAUUUGCUUCUUAACCAAUUUGACAAGCUAAUUGAAUAAUUGAUUUUGAUUGUAAUUUGGCUGUAAACAGGAAACUCAACAAUUAAUCAUUUAAAAUAGAUUUGUCUGAAUACUGUGAAACUAUGGAAAAGGUUGCAAUGUUUAAACAAAAUUUUGUAUCAAAAUUUAACGUAAAGGUGAUGGAAGAUUGAAAAAAGCGUUUUAUUUAUAUUACUUUAGUUUGCAAUGUAAUUUAUUUUGCUACUCACAAGUUGCUAAUAAUGAUAAAUUUGAAGAAACAAAAUGUACCAAAAAAAUGUCUAACAUCUCAAUAUUACCAAUGAAUUUGUUGGUUCAUUUCGUGAUCAAAUGUUAACUACAAAUGAUGUUUACUGAUGAAGAUAUUAUGGUGGCAAUAGUGAGAAAGAAACGCAAAGAUUGAGACAUUCUCAUCCAUCAUUAACUUGUAUUGAACUAUUUUUACUGUUGCAUGAGAAACAAGUGAAAGAUGAACAUCUUUUUUUUGUAUUGAAAAGUCUUGAAGCGUAUGAUUAGGAAGAUACCUUGUUUUGCUUUUCUUUCAUUUCUUUUUCUCUCAUCAUCAUUUCCAUCCUCAUCAACAUCAAUGAUCACAAUCAGUUUUUGCCCGAUUCCUUCCAAGUGAGUCUAAAUUAAUUUGCUCAACAACACAACCAUUAAAGAUGAAUGUAUCUUUGUCAAUGAACAUCACUUUGAGAUUUCAAAUGAUCAUGCCAAUGAUGAUGCUAAGGAUGAAGGUUGCCAUGUUGGUGACAGCAAGAUGAAAAUGGCAAGUGUCUUCUUCAUCCCUUUACUUUUACCAUCUUCAUCUUGUAAUUUUCAUCCUUUCAUUUUCCUUUACAUUUUUCCUCUUCUUUUUUCCCCAAAAAUAUAAUACUUCAUCUUUUUUAUUACUGGUGACAAUAAUUUACUUACAACAUCAACAAUCAACAAUUUGUGUGUGAAGUUUCAAAAUGUCAACUCAACCAGAAGACUAAGUUGGCAAAUAAUGAGGAGAAAAUUAAUUUUAUUAUUGAAUGUAUUUGGCAUUUUUAUCACCAUUACUAUUAAUAUCACUAUUAAUAUUAAUAUUAAUAUCAAUUUUUUUCUCUCUAUUCUCUAUCAUUAAUAUAUGAAUAUUUUUUCCCUUUUCUUUUGAUUCUUUCUCCUAAUCAUUUACUAUUGUUAUCCAAACAAAACAUUAGACACAUUUAUUUGAUCAUUGAUUGUCAUUUUAUUGGUGAAAAAACACCAAUAAAUACAUUUUCAACCGCAACUUUGAUCAAUCAAUACACUGUAUAAUCAUUUUUUAACAUUGAUAUGUAAAUAAAUUUCCCUCCUCAAUCAAUAUCUUAUUGAUCACUUUUAAUGCUGGUUAACGUUUCCCAACACUUUAUUUUGGAAACAUUUUAAUACUUAAUUGCUUCAAUUCAAAUUGAGCGCUCUUAUCUUCGUUUAAUUUUCAUUGGCUUUACGCUCUCUACAUUUCCCUCCAUUCAAUCACAUGUUUUGCUUUUUUAUUAAAAUCGUAAAAUUUGUUUUAAUUUAAUUUUCUCUUAAAUGUGAUCUAAUUAUUUGGUUAUUUAUUUCAUCUUUAUUCACCUAUUUCUUUGUCACUUGUGUAUUCCUUUAAUGUCCACUAUUCUUCGAUUGUUCAAGUUUAAAUCAACUUUACCAUUCUUGGUGGUGAGUGAGUGAAUUUUCUUGGAUUUAGGUGAAGCCUUUAUAAUUCAGCCUUGAUUAAUUUAUUGAAUCUGUUUCGAAAUGUUCUGUUUUCAUGAUUAUUGUUUGUCUAGUUGUAAUUAAUGAGAAGACACUUUUGCUAUUGAUUAUGUUUGAAUUGAAUUUUAAACUGUAUCAAUUUCUUUGUUGUGACUUUUGUUUCUUCGUUUACUCAACUGUUGUCAGCUUGUUAACCUCAAUUGUUAAUUAUGAUUUGUGCAUUGUUGUUUGAUAAGUAUAAUAUUCAAUUUAGAGCCAAAUUACUGUGUAAUUUGUUGUUGAUUUAGAGGGACAAUCAUUGUUAACUUUUUGCUUUUGUGCAAUUUCAACAAAAGUACCAUGUCGAAAGAAAGAAAAAGAUCCAAAUCAUUUAUGGUAAAUAUUAUUAUUUUGAAGGCCAAUAAAUUUUGAUGAUGAAUAUAAUAAUAAUAAUUUAACCUCAACUUUCCUUCACCAUCCACAUCCAGUCAAUAUUAUUUCAUAGGAAAAGACGAAGAGGCGGAUCGUACGAAGUAAGACAUCGACAUUAUCAAAAAAGCAAAGACAGGAAACUCGCAGAUGAAGAAAUGAAGAAAAGAAGGUUAACAGAAGAAGAAAUGUGAACAGGAAAUUUCCUUCAAAAAACCUUUACUGGAACAUCCCACUGAAGUCCUUCUUUUCUUAUGCUAUUAUCUUCAUUCAGAUCACAACAAAAAGGCAAACUGGGAAAAGGCUGAUAAAAAGUAAUAAUAAUACUGGCUGAUGUUAAUGCUCGAUAAUGUUGGAUUGCAAUAAGGAAAAGGUGGCCUGAUGGAACAAAGAGGGACAAAAGAUGAUGAUGAUGAUGAACAAGAUGAUGGUCGAAAAAGAGAAGAAGAAGAAGAAGAAAAAACUUCUUUUUAAUCGCACCAUUGAAAAGAAAAGAAAAACGUUUGCAUUAAAUAGCGUCCUCGUAUAUUGCUGUAUUUAACACUGCGGGAUGUGAUACAUUUGAAUAAGCGCCUUCAACUUUUUACAACUUGUAACAUAAAAUGUUGACUCGAUCGUUUCCCUUUACUUUAUCCUUCAUCAUGCUCAUCAUCAUUAUCAUCUUUUACUUUCUUCAAACGUUCUUCACCGUUUCCGACAGAGCCUUUACCUUUGUUGUUAAAGCAAAAUGUAAAGCUAAACAUUUCUCUUUCUUCUUUAUCAUAAUCAUCAUUAGAAAAAAAGAUGAUGAUCAAAGUGAUGAACAUUUUUUCUACUUUUCUUCGAACUUUCAACCAAAUUUAUGUCUACAGACUCAGUGGGAUAUAAAGAAACGCAAAAUGGCCUCACCUUUUUACAACUUUCGUGAACUCUAUUUGGAUUCAUCUUCUUCUUCCAAUCAUUCACCUUUACAUUCAAUCCUUUUCAUCAUCAUAUAUCUACCAACUUUCACCAUUAGGAAAAUUGUUGAACAUAAAAUGGACAGGAAAAAAAUUGUUGAAAGAAACGAAAGUUCACAUCUCUAGAAAAUGCUCUUUCCUUCAUUAACUUCAUCCUCAUCAUGAAAUGUUAAAUUGUCACUUUUAAGCUUGAAAGCAACAUAAAAAGAAAACAUCUUUUUGCUCGUCAAUUUUUAUUAACUUGAUUGAUGUUAACAAGCUUGUUAAAAAUGAAGACCAUAAUUAACAAUGUAGAUCUUGUUCAUCAAAAUAUUGAAUUUUACUAAUUAAACUUGACUGGUAACUAGAAA
This is a non-coding RNA of Tetranychus urticae (two-spotted spider mite), 7474 nucleotides long. The record is from RefSeq and is a predicted model, not a curated record. Lineage: Eukaryota; Metazoa; Arthropoda; Arachnida; Trombidiformes; Tetranychidae.